UAAGACCUUAAAAUGCUGUUGUCUUAAGCCCUCUUUAUUCUAAUAAAAUUUACAGAGAUAAGCACAUAUAAGCUAAACUACUAUAAAGGAAAUAUUAGGAUUUUUUAAACCCAUAAACAGACAUGAAAACAGUCACUGUUUGAUUGCAGAGAAAGUGAGAUUCUAAAGCAGCUGGCCCCAAAACAGCCUCACAAAACCCCAGGCAGGCCAGGCAGUCUGAACACUACAAGGCCACGUAAUGGUCACAGAGGAUGACAGCUCCCAUGAGUAUUAGGCACUGUGUUCGCUUCUCACUCACAGUCUCAGAUGCCUCCUCACCAAUACCCUGUGAGGGGAGGCCCCGCCUCACUAGAGCACAGGAGGUUCCUGAGCUCCUCCCAGAAAAUGGUCAUCAAAGGGUGGAGCUAGGGGAAGCCCAGACAGAACAAGUGAGUCCCUAGGAUCUCCUUAACCUUCCUCAGCUUCUCCACAUGGGUCCCUGAGGGAAAAUGAGCAGCCUCAUGUCCCCAUUGAUAGGGUUCCAGUCCUGUAGGUCUGGACUCUGUCAUUUUAUGCUACCUUAGGGGGUGACAGUGCAACCCCAGGCCCCUUAUUUGCCAUCUCUCAAUGCCAGGCCAGGCCCAGAGCCCUUUGCUGACACAGCCCAGGGGAUGCUCGAGGCCCACCUCAGUGCAAUCAGUGAGAAGGGCAAGGAGGUGCAAGUAGACACAAAUCCCCAUGGACACGGCCUCAGGCACGUUCCACAGGCUCAGGGCCUCCCUGAUGAGCUCACGGCCCUCCUUCAGGAAGCCUGUGGAGCACAGCCCCAGAGAGCAGUGCUCAGAUGAGCAUGCAGGCCCCACAUCCCCCACCCCAUGACACUCUUUUCCACUUUGCAGGGUUUCUGCAUUGGCCAGUGGCCACUGCUUUCUGUUGAGAUGUCCCAGUUGAAGUGAAUGUUGAAGGCCACAGAGCUGAUGGAGCUGACUGCCUUGCACAUGUUGUAAAUCACCUCCUGGCUCCAAGGGUCGGCUGUAGAGACACAGCUUGAUGGGAGGUCGCCCGACUCCACCAUCAGUGGUGCUGGGCUGCCGUGAUCUGCACCUUCCAGCUCCUUGCUGAGAUGUCUGCAUGCUUCUCUAAGGGACUGGGUCACGAGGCACCCCUGGCAAGGACCAGCUGGCAGAACAGGCUGGACACUCUCCCUCAGCCUCCCCAGAAGCCCCGCCUGUGCUGUCAUCUGUGCUGAGGAUCUCCGUGACCGAGAACAAGUGGCAUCCCAGGAGCCUGUGAGGGGCUGGCAGAGACUUACUGGUUCCAGGAAAAGCCCCAUGUGGAUGUAGUAACGCUGCCUGCGGAUCCUUGGCUGUAAUUACAAACAGUUUCACCUUCCAGUUCUGGUUCUGGAGACAAGAUGGCCCCUCUUGGAACCCUGGGAGAAUGUGCUCAGGUGACACACAGUCGACAGGGCCCAUUUCCAAGCCAUUCUUCCAUUUCCCACUGUUUGAGGGGCCGAGGCCAGUGAUCAGCACAGGACCACCCAGGGCCAGCUGUCUGCACCUAAAUGUGAUGCUGUUCUGGAUGUCUCAGGGCCAGAACCCUCCAGGUGAGAUGGCUGGUCCUCAGCACCUGGCUUCCAUGCUCCUUUUUCCUCUGUUCAAUCCUGGCCCCAAUGCCUCCCGCAACUCUCAGGUCACCAUUGGAGAAGAUGCUCAGGAAGAACAAGCAGCUGCAGUCAACCCUGCUGAAGGUGGCAGAUGGGUCCAGAUUCUUGAGCUGGUCUUGGACAUGGUACAUGUGGAUGCAGGCUUUGAGCAGUGUGUUUAGCUCUUUCCGGAAGGAGGGGAAAAGGGUGUUACCCGGGUCCUACACCCUAGAACGACCCAUCUAGGACAGUAAAUAGUUUGCAAGGUGCUAUCAUGUGUGAUUUUAAUUUUCAACUUUAGGCUUUCAUUUUCAAAUUCCACAAAAAACACAUAAGGUGGGGUUCUGAUUUCAACACACACACACACACACACACACACACACACACACACACACUCUCUCUCUCUCUCCCUCUCUCUUAGAAUCUUCCAGUGCAUUCACACUGAAAGCCAAAGUCCUCCCAGAAUCUUGUGAGAACCUAAAUGAUCUGAAUAGUUUGUCAUUGCUUUUGGGAAUCUGGGAAAAUCUCUGCAUAUUUCUGGAGACCGCUGUUAUGCCGUUUUUAAUAAAUCUGUUGUGCUUCAAUUCAGAAGCGUGUGAGGGGAGUUGUGGAGGAAUUGGCAUUUGGUUUAGAAAUUCCAGGAACAGCAGAGACAGAUGACAGCUGUUUUCUUCUUUAUAAUGUCAAGUCUUAUGAAGGCUAAAACCUACUUCAACAAAAAAAUUAGACUGAAAAACUUUAUAGGCAAAAAUUAAAUAGGAAAAACUAAUUAUUUUGUUUUAAAAUUUUCUUUUUCUUAGUAGGACCUAAUCAUAGAAAUUUAAACUCUGUAUGCCAACAACCUCUACUGUAGGAUCGUUUAUUGUAUGUACUCAUUUUACAGAUUUCUUACAAAAACUUUUUCCAUAAGGGAAAUUAGAAUAUUGUUCAACAUAUAUUGAAUUCCCAAUUAUUACCUUAUUUCUCAUUUAUUAUUUUAUGAUUCUGCCUUCUUUAAUAUGAAGAUUACUAUGACUGUGUUUUCACUUUAUGAAUUAUCAUGUGUCACAUUUGCCUGUAAUUUCAGUUUCAGAAGUUCUAAAAUAGCAUGCUCAAAUGUAUAUAUUAUGUAUAAAUUAUAUAAUUAAUAAUUUAUUAAAAUAUUUGGCUUGUAUGUUUAAUUGACUCUAGGCACAAUGUUACUAUUAGCAUUUUCUUCCAGUUUUCCCAUCUUUUAUUUGACUAAUAGUGCAAUAUAUUUCCAAUUUUUAUUUUAUAUAUCAAUGUUUUACACUGUAUUUACAAUAUUUAUAUUGGUGCCGUAUAUAAAAAUGUAAGACUUUUCUAUUAAAGGCCUGAUUACAGCCUUACCAUUUUGUGUAAGAAAAGCAGCAAUGCAUCAGUAGCAUAAUUUAAAACUUUCUGUAGUAUUACUUAGAUGCUUAUUCCUUAAAACUUUCUCAUCACAGCUAUUUGUAAUAAAUAUACUGUUUUCUCUAAAAUGUUGUUGCCCUAACUGUAUCCAAAUAAUUCAAAAUUUAUACUUUUCAUGGAUUCACAAGAAGAGUUGAAAAUUGUAGUUACCUAGGAUUCUUUUUCAGUAGGAAACUAUGUUUAGUCAGGAUUUUGUGGAUUAAAGUUUCUCUUAAUUAUGUUUUAUAAUUUUAUGUUUCUGUAUUUUUUAGAGUAGGCUGUCUCACAUCAGUUAAUUGUGUUUUUAGUUUCUACUUAUUUAUUAUGAUUUUGAUUUACAUUAUUCAAAUAAGAAUUUGGGGGUUAAUGUUUCUUUUAACUUUGUUUUGCAAUUUUACGUUUCUGUGUUUCAUGUUUUAGGGUAGGGCACCUUACAUCAGUUUAUUGUUUUAAAUUUUAAUUUAUAUAAUAUAAUUUCUCUGUACACCUUAAGACAGUGUGGGGCAAAAGUCAAAUAUGAACCAUCCCUAUGUCUUUUGUUAAUAUAACGAUUUAAGUGUUUGUUUGCUUGUAUAAAUAUUGCUCCUAUUUUGUUUAUGACUUGUAUAUUUUCUUCUUGUUUGAUGGCCAAUAAUUGAUUCUGUCUAAGUGAGUAAUCAUGGAAAUUGUCUUAAUUUCAACAUCUAUUGUUUAUAUUAUCUUAGUGUGAAAGAAAGAUUUGUGCGAUUUGAAGAUAAUUUUUCAAAAACUUUGUAACUCUGUCUCUUUGGGUGUUUUUUAUUUAUUUAUUUAUUUUUUUUGACAGAAUCUCACCCUGUCACCAAAGUGCAGUGGCACAAUCUUGGAUUACUGCAACCUCCCCCUCCCAGGUUAAAGCAAUUCUCCUGCUGCUGCCUCUUGAGUAACUGGCAUUAAAGGUGUGCACCACCACGUCUGGUUAAUUUUUGUAUUUUUCAUAGAGCUGGGGUUUCACCAUGUUGGCCAGGCUGGUCUUGAACUCAUGGCCUCAAGUAAUCUGAAUGUCUCAGCCUCCCAGAGUGCUAGGAUUACAGGCAUGAGCCAUUGCUUUUGGCCCUUGGGUGUCAUUUUUAAUUUCGAUUGUGGUAAAAAUGCAUAACACAAAAUUUAGAAUCUUUAAUAUUUUUUCUUAUACAGUUCAGUCAUGUUAAGUGUAUUUACAUUGUUAUGCAACAUAUUUGUAAAACUUUUUUCUUUUGCAAAACUAAAACUCAGUACACACGAAAUGACAACUACCCAUUUUUCUUACCACCUGGCUCCUGAUAAAAAUCGUUCUAUUUUCUGUUUCUAAGUUUCAAUACUUUAGAUAUUACAUAUAAGUAGAAUCAGAGUAUCUGUUUUAUUGUGACUAAUUUUACUUAGCAUCAUGUUCUCUAGAUUUCUCUUUAUUGUGGAUGGUACAAGAUUUUCUGCCUUUAAAAGCUCAGUAAUAUUCCAUUACUUUUAUAUUACAAAUUAUGUUUAUUUAUUCAUUCUUUGAGGAAAGUUUGUGUUGCUUUCACCUAUUGGCCUUUGUGAGUAAUGCUGCAAAGAAUAUGGGUGUGCAAAUAACUAUCUGCUUAUAUGUGCGAGGUUUACGUCUGUGCUACCUUCUGUUUUAUUGGAAAAAUUGUCUGUCUUUAUGCCAGAAACAAACUGUUUUCAUUACUGUUGCUUUGUAAUGUGCUUUGAAAUCAGAAAAGGUGAGGUCACUAACAUUGUUGUUUGUUUAAACAUUUUUGGGCUCUUUAUGGUCGCUUGAGAUUCCAUAUAAUUUGUUUGUUCCUUUUUCUAUUUCUAAAAAAAAAAUGUUAAUUUAAAAGGAAUUGCAUUGAAUCUGUAACUCGCUUUAGGCAUCAUGAGCAUUCUUCAUAAUAUUGUCUUACAACCCUUAAACAUGAGCAUGCUCAAAAGUGAGUUGUUUAAUUUCCGUAUAUAUGUUGCUAUAUUUUGUCUCUUCUAUUAUUGAUUUCUAGUUUUAUUCCAUUUUGAUUAGAAAUAAUAGUCAUUGAAAGGCUAAACCACUCUGGGAAGUGACCUCCAUUAUAGAACAUUACAAAGAUAUGUGAGGGCACCACUUCUGCCCUGAUGGGCUACAGGGAUGAGUUCUCUGAGAUGACACAUUGCAGACAAAUGCAGGGAACAAUAUAGCCCCUUUUUCAUGUAAACUCUUUCCUAUUUUUGUAGAGUAUUAGUGAUAGUGGUGGUUUUUAAGUCUUGGAGAGGGUCUGGCAGUACCGUGAAGCUGCCUGCUACAGACGAUACCGGGAUGAAUAAUUAAAACUAUACAAACUGUAGCAACAUGAAUAAAUACAGCCUAGUGUAAAGUAAAAAGAACACAAAGGCCUUCUCUGAUAUUUCUACAAGUAUGUAUAAAGGGACUUUACACUUAACCAAGUUGCCAUUGGGAUUAGUUAAGGCUAGAUUUUUUGGGGGCAGAACUUUGGGUCACUUAUGGAAACCCCCUAAGAGAGAGCCCAGAGAAAUUCCAUAUUUGGGUCUGGAUCCUGGGCCCAUCCUGGUUUUGUCAGGCCCCUGUCUGUAGAGACCCCCAUGUGCCUGCUCUCACCGUAACUGACUGUAUGCCAUGCUUGGGGUUGUGGUGAACCUGCCAGUUGUCCAAGGAGAUGGGGGAGUUAAACCCAUAAAAUAUCUGCUCACUGAUUUUAAUGCAGUCUAUAAAGAGUGUUCCCAGCAGCGAAGCUGAAAAAAAGAAAAAGAAAAAAAAAAAAGAAGUUAACUCUCUGCUUUAUUUUUACCACCAGAUAACAUCUCCAUUAGCAAUUCUGUUUCCUAGAUCAGGAAGCAUCCACAUAGACCCGCAUAGGAGCAUCCGCAUAGACCCCCAGCCAAUGAGGAAACCAGAGGACAGCUUAAGGCCUUGGGAUUCACAUCUGAAUAGACACACUUGGCCCGCAACGCUCAACUUUUUAUUCCACCAGCCAUGACCUGGGUUUGAAUAUGACAGACCCAUCAGGGUUCCAAUGCCUUACAACCUGCCCCUGUGAGGAAGAGCCCCCUCCUUUCCUGCUACUCCUACAACACAUGGUAAUGGUAGGCAGGGUGGGGUUGCCCAGAUUAGAUGACGAGGGUGGCCUGGUAUGGACGGACCUGCCCUGGGCUACACAGUGUUACCUGUGGUUGCCUCUUGUCGAAUGGCCAGUAGUAUCAAGGAUGCGGGCUGAGCCAAUAUGUAUAUUGUCAGAAAAGGCUCUCACUUUGAGCCUUUCUAAGGCAACAACUUAGGAAUGUAGCACACAAUGAGAACACACUGCUCUCUCAAGCAACUCCCGUGAAAUGAGCUAGAUACAGGGCUGUCUCUAGAAUGUGGGUGUCUGGUUCCCAAAGUUCUAAAUUCUGUUAGGUUCUGUCACAAGGGAAGUCUGUUAACUUCUUCAAGGUUUUAUCCCCUGAGCCCUUUUCCUCCAUAAAUCUAUGCAAAGGCCCUGCUGGGCUGCUGAUUACUCACCCUCUUAUCCCAUGUCAACCCUUUACCUGUAAAGAGUUAUGCAAACACAAUUAUGCCCCUUACUCUCCAAAAAGAUCUGAAUGCAGCCAGGGCCCCAGGUUUGAGAGAACAGAGUUGGGUUAAAAUCCUCUUUUGCUUUUCAUUUCUGUGACCAUAUCAAAAUCACUGUGUGCUUUAGGUCUCCCCAGCCCUGAAGUUUGCAUAAUAGGAUUAUGCCAGCAUCAACUUCCAAAAACAGUCAUUGGCGAUAUACGAGAUAGAAUAAAUAAAAAUCGGUUGGAUGCAGUGACUCUUGCCUGUAAUCUUAGCAGAUUGGUAGACCAAGGCAGGUGGAACACUUAAGGCCAGGGGUUUGAAACCAGCCAUGGCCAGCAUGGCAAAAACCCUUCUCUACUAAAAAUGCAAAAAUUAGCCAG
Symphalangus syndactylus (siamang) is the source of this 6898-nucleotide long non-coding RNA. RefSeq lists it as uncharacterized. The record is from RefSeq and is a predicted model, not a curated record. Lineage: Eukaryota; Metazoa; Chordata; Mammalia; Primates; Hylobatidae.